Molecule: non-coding RNA, 73 nt
Organism: Podarcis lilfordi (Lilford's wall lizard)
Lineage: Eukaryota; Metazoa; Chordata; Lepidosauria; Squamata; Lacertidae
Source: the annotation of a GenBank genome assembly
UCCUGGAUAGCUCAGUCAGUCCAGCAUGAGACUCUUGAUCUCGGGCUUGUGGGUUUGAGCCCCAUGUUGGGCA